AGAGCGAACGCUGGCGGCAGGCUUAACACAUGCAAGUCGAGCGCCGUAGCAAUACGGAGCGGCAGACGGGUGAGUAACACGUGGGAACGUACCUUUUGGUUCGGAACAACCCAGGGAAACUUGGGCUAAUACCGGAUAAGUCCGUAAGGAGAAAGAUUUAUCGCCAAAAGAUCGGCCCGCGUCUGAUUAGCUAGUUGGUGAGGUAAUGGCUCACCAAGGCGACGAUCAGUAGCUGGUCUGAGAGGAUGACCAGCCACAUUGGGACUGAGACACGGCCCAAACUCCUACGGGAGGCAGCAGUGGGGAAUAUUGGACAAUGGGCGCAAGCCUGAUCCAGCCAUGCCGCGUGAGUGAUGAAGGCCUUAGGGUUGUAAAGCUCUUUCGACGGGGAAGAUAAUGACGGUACCCGUAGAAGAAGCCCCGGCUAACUUCGUGCCAGCAGCCGC
This 446-nucleotide ribosomal RNA is filed under the name uncultured soil bacterium. RNAcentral describes it as "bacterial SSU rRNA". It matches the Rfam family "Bacterial small subunit ribosomal RNA", at positions 26 to 518 of the family's 1533-position model. The record is from RNAcentral.